Molecule: ribosomal RNA, 801 nt
Filed under: Bacillus sp. AG07-13
Lineage: Bacteria; Bacillati; Bacillota; Bacilli; Caryophanales; Bacillaceae
Description: bacterial SSU rRNA
Rfam family: Bacterial small subunit ribosomal RNA
Source: RNAcentral
CUGCGGCGUGCCUAAUACAUGCAAGUCGAGCGGACAGAUGGGAGCUUGCUCCCUGAUGUUAGCGGCGGACGGGUGAGUAACACGUGGGUAACCUGCCUGUAAGACUGGGAUAACUCCGGGAAACCGGGGCUAAUACCGGAUGCUUGAUUGAACCGCAUGGUUCAAUUAUAAAAGGUGGCUUUUAGCUACCACUUACAGAUGGACCCGCGGCGCAUUAGCUAGUUGGUGAGGUAACGGCUCACCAAGGCAACGAUGCGUAGCCGACCUGAGAGGGUGAUCGGCCACACUGGGACUGAGACACGGCCCAGACUCCUACGGGAGGCAGCAGUAGGGAAUCUUCCGCAAUGGACGAAAGUCUGACGGAGCAACGCCGCGUGAGUGAUGAAGGUUUUCGGAUCGUAAAACUCUGUUGUUAGGGAAGAACAAGUACCGUUCGAAUAGGGCGGUACCUUGACGGUACCUAACCAGAAAGCCACGGCUAACUACGUGCCAGCAGCCGCGGUAAUACGUAGGUGGCAAGCGUUGUCCGGAAUUAUUGGGCGUAAAGCGCGCGCAGGCGGUUUCUUAAGUCUGAUGUGAAAGCCCCCGGCUCAACCGGGGAGGGUCAUUGGAAACUGGGGAACUUGAGUGCAGAAGAGGAGAGUGGAAUUCCACGUGUAGCGGUGAAAUGCGUAGAGAUGUGGAGGAACACCAGUGGCGAAGGCGACUCUCUGGUCUGUAACUGACGCUGAGGCGCGAAAGCGUGGGGAGCGAACAGGAUUAGAUACCCUGGUAGUCCACGCCGUAAACGAUGAGUGCUAA